Molecule: long non-coding RNA, 1123 nt
Filed under: Strigops habroptila (Kakapo)
Lineage: Eukaryota; Metazoa; Chordata; Aves; Psittaciformes; Psittacidae
Description: lncRNA (ENSSHBG00005018765.1)
Source: RNAcentral
UUUUUUUUUUUUUUUUUUUUUUUUGAGAUUUCAUCUUGGGAAUUGAUACACAUCGACAUUAUUAUAAUAAAUAUUAUAAUUUCUUUUUUCUUUAGCAUGUUUGGUAGGACUGCGAAUAGGACACAAAUUUUCUGAUUCCUGGUUGAUCACUUAUGUAACUGCCUUACUAGGAAUGUUCUUUCCCAUUCCAUGCAUUCUGGGAAUAGUUUUGAUUGCAGGGGAGCUCUGGUGGUCGAGUACAACCCCUGCUGAAAGCAGGGCUUGAUGCAGAAGUUAAUCAGAUCGUGCAUGGCCUUGUCCUUUUCAGGUCUGAAAAUCAUAUAGGUUGGAGAUUACGCAGCUUCGCUGGGCAACCUCUGCCCAUGCUUUGCCACUCACUGCAAGGGGUUAUGUCAGCUGGAAUUUCUCAUCUUGCAGCUUGUGCUUGCCAUCUAUUGCCUUUUCACUAUAUGCACUGGUCCUGUCUUAUUUAUAACCUCCUUUUAGAUACUGGAAGACUGAAAUCAAAUUCCCCAUUAGCCUUACUUCCCAGACUAACCUAACGCAGCUCCCUCAGCCAUUCCUUGUACAUUGUGUGCUUCAGUUCCCUCACCAUCUUAGUGACCUUCUAUUGGACUCACUCCAGAUAGCUGAUCUCUCUCUUCUGUGAAGUGACACAAAGUUAUUUUACCGCAUUUGUAGAAGUGGGAUGAUCUGUCCAAUGGGCCUCCCUCUCUGUUGCUUUCCUCACAUAAAAUAGACUGUGCUUGGGUGAAUGGCUUAGCAUAAUUACUUUAUUUAUCUGAAUUCAAAAAUAAGUGUGAAAAUCCUUAAAUGCUGAAAUAAUUAACAGGGGAAAUUCAGUUUUUUCAAAAUUACUUAGACACCCAAGUGUUUUUGUUACCUCUUGAAAAAGAGAACAUCAAUCUUGUUUGCGCUGAACCUCUCGGCGUAAGAACAGUGGGGAUGCCACAUUAACUUUUUGUCCUCGCUUUUGUUAUGCAGUAUGAAUUCUUGAUAGGUUUUGAUUUAGUUGCUGGUACAUUAUUUAUGACAUCUUUUGGCUGCAGCUGCUGUAAUCUACGAACCAAAGCCAAGCCUAUUGUUUCUAGUCAUAGAAUUGUAGUUCGUUAUAGAGCAACUC